UGCAUACUUACAUUUUUGAAAAAGAAAACUAAGAAAAAAAAAACAGUGGAGCAACCUAUCGCUGUGAUCUUCGUUAAAAUGGUUUGACUUUAUGUCUAUGAGAAGCUUCAUAAACCAUUAGUGAUAUAAACACUCAUCUAUCGAUAUGACACUUUGCUGCUCUGACCUCACUGUACCUCUCCACGCUGGUUCUCCCAAAGGUGCAAUACAUAGGGUGUAAUGGAGACCACAGGCAUGAUAUCAUCAUGAUUCUUAUUUCAAAUUUUAAACAGAUUCAAUGGUGUAUAUCUAUUAAUAACACCCACAGAACUUUGGUCUCCUCCCACAUUUCAUCGAGUACAAAUGAGUUUAGACACAAAAUCCUAUCUUGGCAACUAUAAUGAAAAUGUCAAUGUAAUAAGGAAAUCAAAGUACAUCCCUGGUAAUAAUAAAGAGAACUGGCAAUUCCACAACAGCAGAAUAAUGCGGAGACCCAGAUAUUUUAAACAUGAAUGCCAAACAAAAUCCAUAAUUGAUAAUGAAAAAGUGAAAAACAACUAUGCACAAUGACAGAAUGUCUAAUGUAAAUGUUACCCAAACACAUUCACUUCAAGUACAGUGCAGAUUCAAAGUUUGGUAGCAGUAUAAAGGUUAGUGCGGUCUGUGCCGUCACAUUUUAUUACCAAACUCUGCAACUUAAAGUAAAACAGUGAGUCUCAUUCUGUUACAGUGGAAUUGCCCAAAACCAGACAUCAAAAUCCUGUUUCAUCCCUUAAAAAAAGUGAAACAAAAAAUAAUUAGAAACGCAUGGUCACUGGCAUAUACUAAAGGGAGGGAAACUUUGCCACAGUGUCCAAACAAGUAUCUAUCCUAUUCUUUCUUCCAAACCCUCUGCAACACGGGCAGCAUCACACAUCUACGCCCCUGGUCUCAUGGCUUAGGCACUUGUGUGUGUCCUUAUAUCAAACCUAAACAUAGGUGAACUAACAACUCACACACUCAUAUAGCACUAAGUACCUCCAAUUGUACUGGUUGAAGCAUCAGGUGCAAAGUAGUAAUCACCUGGAAGGGAUUAACGGGUAGAAACUCGAGCAGUCCAAAACAAAGGUUGGCAUACUUUUUGAAAGGCUCCAAUUAAAUGACCAUGUACAAAGUGUGCAUGAUGUGUGCAUGACGUGUGCAUGACGUGUGCAUGACGUGUGCAUGACGUGUGCAUGAUGUGUGCAUGAUGUGUGCAUGAUGUGUGCAUGAUGUGCACACGCACACACCUCAGGACAGCCCUGCUGUCCCAAGAUUCUAGCCUUGCACACAGGAAGCAACUCUAUGGUUGUGCUCACUAGAUCUAGAUUCUAUUGCACCGCCUGAAGGAAAAACAGCAACUAAACCCUCACCCUCUAAUGGAAGCAGCGAGGGUGAAUACUAGAGAGAUUCACUGGAGCCACCUCUACAGCACACAUGUACAUAUCACAUACCAGACGCAUCUGUGUGGCACACCAAAUGCACACAUACUCAGUUUCUUUUCCUUGAUAUUGCAUCACAGAUGUGAUUAUGGUGUACAUGUCUUUUGACAUACAAUGACAGAGGAAAGGGGCCAGCAAAUGGAACAUGUUCUUCAGAUCAAGAUCUUAGUGUGAAGUGUCUGUUUGGGUUGGGUCUUUUCAGAGACCAAAAAUAAAACAAGCAAGUAAUUAAAAAAGAUGAGUUGAUACUGCUUGCAGUAACAAUGUGUCCAAGCAGAAACUGGAGUCAUGGAGAAGAACCAAAUGUGUGCAAUCCAUAUUACCAGACACAUACAGCACUAUACAGCAGUUUCUUCUGUAAUGUAAUAGACUACUGUUCAAAAAUAUUGAAAUACAGUACAUAAGGUGCUCUCAUACGUGUUGGAGAAAUGCAUGUGCAAUAUGAACCUAUUCAUUUGUUUAAGCUUUUCACUUCUCUCAUAAAUUGUUCACAGUAAUCAUAUAUCCUCUCUCAUGCACAAACACACAUACACAAACACUGAAUAAAAAAUCUCAAAAGCAAAUAUUUGACUGCAAAAUAAUUGUAAACAAACAAAAGAAAAGAAGCUAUGGCAAAGUAGCAAGCUGUUGCAUAAAGAACCUCUAAUCCUUUCACUGACAGUAUAUGAAGACGCACCACGUGGAAUGAAUUGGGCGACAUGGGACAUGAGUUGGACAUUUUCAGGUAAACAAUAGAGAAACAUGAAACAAACAGCAGUGAUAGAUUAGCAAAACAGUAGUGAACCAUUAGUAAAACAACAGUGAAAGAGGGAGCAGAGAAUGGAUGGUGGAAUGACACUUGGAUCUUGUGACCAAAUGAAUGAGUGGGGUGACCUUCCCCAGAGGAGUCCCACAGAGGAAAUAAAGAAAAACUGUGUCUGGAACCUAAACAAGAAUUUGUACGACCCCCAAAGCAACUGCUAACAAAAUUAAUUCUACAGCACAACUUGGUUCACAAACCAAUUUUCUGAUGCAAUAAAAAUACAUGAUAAUUAGCAUGGAUCCAAGUGUUAACCAAAAAGCAGUUUCAGGUGGGGAAGAAUCCACUGAGUUUUCUGCUAAACUUGUAAAAUUGACACAGAGCAGUAUCAAUGAGAUUGGUGUUCACUGUAGCCAGCAGUUAUCCACAAGCUAAGCAAAAUGACAAAUGGGUUCUGACCUUGGGGCAGUCCGGUGUCAGAAAGAUCCUCCACAACUAUACUGUUAAACCCGGAAUUAGACACAGGCUAAAACAUCGGAACAAGAGGGCAGAGAGGUGCAGCAACAUUUGGCUGUCAGCAUAUCAUUUCCACCAUAUUGUAGCUGAAUCUCAGUUGAGGUUUGGCUGUGUUAGCGUUAGGUACACAGGGCUCAGCAGACUACAAAUCUAUCAUCUACAGCAGGGGUGUCAAACUGGUUCCACAGAGAGCCAAGUGUCUGCAGGUUUUUGGUUUUUCCUUAAAAUUGGUUCCCAGUUCAGACCUAAACAACCAGGUGAGGGUAGAAACUAACCAAUUAGUGACCCAAUUAAUCAAUCACAUACAAGGUGAAAGCGAAAACCUGCAGACACUCGGCCCCUCCAAGGAACCAGUUUGAGACCUCUGAUCUACAGGCUACCCUGCAUAUAACAUCCCGUUCAUAGUAAUCCUACAGAGAUGACAUACAACCCAUAGAGAUCCUGUAGAGAUAAAACAUACCGCCCAUAGAGAUUGUAUAGGGAUAUAACAUACCAAUCAGAGAUAUAGGAUCUCCAAGACAGAGGAAAUGACCUUCUCACUUUAACAACAUUUAAAUCACUGUGAUGCAACAGAGGUAGAAUGGUCCUAAACAACUCUUGGAAUUAUAGUACAAGUCAAAAGUUUGGACACACUCACACCCCCCCCCC
Esox lucius (northern pike) is the source of this 3342-nucleotide long non-coding RNA. Lineage: Eukaryota; Metazoa; Chordata; Actinopteri; Esociformes; Esocidae. The record is from Ensembl.